This 1031-nucleotide ribosomal RNA is filed under the name Candidatus Adlerbacteria bacterium RIFOXYB1_FULL_48_10. RNAcentral describes it as "bacterial SSU rRNA". It matches the Rfam family "Bacterial small subunit ribosomal RNA", at positions 8 to 1080 of the family's 1533-position model. Lineage: Bacteria; Candidatus Adleribacteriota. The record is from RNAcentral.
AGAGUUUGAUCCUAGCUCAGGAUGAACGCUGGCGACGUGGAUUAGGCAUGCAAGUCAAGGGGGCCGCAAGGCAACCGGCAGACGAGGUAGUAUAACGCAGGUACGCACCGAAAAGUCGGGCAUAGCUAGCCGAAAGGUUAGGUAAUUCCCGAUGGUGAGGCAACUCUAAAGGAGUAAUCCGCUUUUUGAGCGGCCUGCGCAGCAUCAGUUAGUUGGUAGGGUAACGGCCUACCAAGACUAUGACGCUUAGAAGAGCUGAGAGGCUGACCUUCACCGAUAGCACUGAGACACGGGCUAUACAUCUACGGAUGGCUGCAGUCGAGAAUCUUCCACAAUGGACGAAAGUCUGAUGGAGCGACGUCGCGUGACUGAUGAAGUCCUUCGGGACGUAAAGGUCUUUUAUGGGGGAGGAAGUAAUUGACGUUACCCCAUGAAUAAGGGGCUCCUAACUCUGUGCCAGCAGGAGCGGUAAUACAGAGGCCCCAAGCGUUAUCCGGAAUCACUGGGCGUAAAGGGUGUGUAGGCGGUUAUGUUAGUCUUUUGUUAAAGCUUUCUGGCUUAACCAGGAAAAUGCAGGAGAAACGGCAUGACUUAGAGGUCGCGAGAGGUAUACGGAACUCAUAGUGUAGGGGUGAAAUCCGUUGAUAUUAUGGGGAACACCAAAUGCGAAGGCAGUAUACUGGCGCGUACCUGACGCUGAAACACGAAAGCGUGGGAAUCGAACGGGAUUAGAUACCCCGGUAGUCCACGCCCUAAACGAUCACAACUGGCUAUAAGGAGUAUCGACCCUCUUUGUGGCGAAGCUAACGCGUUAAGUUGUGCGCCUGGGUAGUACGACCGCAAGGUUAAAACUCAAAGGAAUAGACGGGGACUUGCACAAGCGGUGGAUCAUGCGGCUCAAUUCGAUGACAAACGAAGAACCUCACCAGGGUUUGAAACUCAACUGUAAGCCUUAGGAAACUUUGGCCCUCGCAAGACUGUUGGGCAGGUGAUGCAUGGUCGUCGUCAGUUCGUGGCUUGAGUUGUUCCCU